CGCUGACGAGUUUGUUAAUUUCUUCUCGAAUGACCUCCCGACGUUCUGGGGCAAACUGUCUUUUCCUCUGCUUUACUAGUCUGGCCCCCGGGCUUAUGUUAAGCCUAUGUACUGCAAUUUUAGGGUCUAUCCCUGACAUAUCCUCAACCUUCCAGGCAAAAACGUCAAUGUUACGAGAUAAGCAACCAACAAGUUCUGUCUUUAGGGUGACGUCAAGAUCCCGACCAAUAGUCACCUUCUUAUCAUGCUCAAGCUCAAUUUCCGUCAAUUCUUCGACAGGGUCAAGUCUGACUUGUUGCCCGUCCUCGGGAUCCAUCCUCAAGAUUUACAUGACGUCGUUAUUUAUUUCCCGAACGCUGGCAACAUAGCAUUGUCUGGCAGCUGUCUGGUCUCCACGGACAACCCCAACGCCAUUACUNNGUUGGAAACUUCAUGGCUAGGUGGAAGGUGGACACAAUGGCUUUAAUCUUGUUCAGGAGUGGUCUUCCCAGAAUAGCGUUAUAGGCCAUUGAGACACGUACCACCUGGAAAGAUGUCAUCUCCGUAAUCUGUUUCUGGCCAGAACCCAAAGUUAGAGGGAGCUCGACGACACCCUCUGGAGUGAUGACUCCUCCCCCAAACCCCUGGAGAGGAGUUUUAACCGCUUUGAGCUGCUGAGAUGAGAUUCCCAUUUUGGCAAAAGCUUCUUGUGAAAGUAUAUUGGCCGCACUCCCGUUGUCAACCAAGAUCCUCUUUACUUCAAAAUUGG
RNAcentral lists this long non-coding RNA (748 nucleotides) under Olea europaea subsp. europaea. Lineage: Eukaryota; Viridiplantae; Streptophyta; Magnoliopsida; Lamiales; Oleaceae. The record is from RNAcentral.